AGCACUGCAUGGUAUCUGCAUCCAGCAGCCUUUUCCUGCUGGGGUGUUCAAAGGACAGUGCAAUAGAAAUUCAGUAUCUGGCAUCGUUGGUUUUCUUGGCUUUGUGCAUGUUAAACCUGGUAUUUCUAUUGAUACAGUU
Echinops telfairi (small Madagascar hedgehog) is the source of this 139-nucleotide small nucleolar RNA. The record is from Ensembl. NCBI's taxonomy places the organism in Eukaryota, Metazoa, Chordata, Mammalia, Afrosoricida, Tenrecidae.